AGAGUUUGAUCCUGGCUCAGAACGAACGCUGGCGGCAGGCUUAACACAUGCAAGUCGAACGCUUUGUAGCAAUACAGAGAGUGGCGCACGGGUGAGUAACGCGUGGGAACGUGCCCUUCAGUCUGGAAUAACCACUGGAAACGGUGGCUAAUACCGGAUAUUCCCUUAGGGGGAAAGAUUUAUCGCUGAAGGAUCGGCCCGCGUAAGAUUAGGUAGUUGGUGGGGUAAUGGCCUACCAAGCCUACGAUCUUUAGCUGGUCUGAGAGGAUGAUCAGCCACACUGGAACUGAGACACGGUCCAGACUCCUACGGGAGGCAGCAGUGGGGAAUAUUGGACAAUGGGCGCAAGCCUGAUCCAGCCAUGCCGCGUGAACGAUGAAGGCCUUAGGGUUGUAAAGUUCUUUUGUCAGGGAAGAUAAUGACGGUACCUGAAGAAUAAGCACCGGCUAACUUCGUGCCAGCAGCCGCGGUAAUUCA
This 477-nucleotide ribosomal RNA is filed under the name uncultured bacterium. RNAcentral's name for it is "bacterial SSU rRNA". It matches the Rfam family "Bacterial small subunit ribosomal RNA", at positions 8 to 527 of the family's 1533-position model. The record is from RNAcentral.